RNAcentral lists this ribosomal RNA (324 nucleotides) under uncultured eukaryote. Its description in RNAcentral is "partial 18S ribosomal RNA". It matches the Rfam family "Eukaryotic small subunit ribosomal RNA", at positions 1470 to 1796 of the family's 1831-position model. The record is from RNAcentral.
CCCUUAGAUGUUCUGGGCCGCACGCGCGCUACACUGAUGCAUUCAACGAGUCUAAAACCUGGUCUGAUAGGGCUGGGUAAUCUUUUGAAAGUGCAUCGUGAUUGGGAUAGAUGAUUGCAAUUCUUCAUCUUCAACGAGGAAUGCCUAGUAAACGCAAGUCAUCAGCUUGCAUUGAUUACGUCCCUGCCCUUUGUACACACCGCCCGUCGCUCCUACCGAUUGAAUGAUCCGGUGAGCUAUUCGGACUUUCGCAUUGUCGAUUUUCGGCUUUACGAGGGAAAGUCUCGCGAACCUUAUCAUCUAGAGGAAGGAGAAGUCGUAACA